This 457-nucleotide ribosomal RNA is filed under the name uncultured bacterium. RNAcentral describes it as "partial 16S ribosomal RNA". It matches the Rfam family "Bacterial small subunit ribosomal RNA", at positions 338 to 795 of the family's 1533-position model. The record is from RNAcentral.
CCUACGGGAGUCAGCAGUGGGGAAUAUUGCACAAUGGGGGAAACCCUGAUGCAGCGACGCCGCGUGAGUGAAGAAGUAUUUCGGUAUGUAAAGCUCUAUCAGCAGGGAAGAAAUAAAGUCCUUCGGACUUUGGACGGUACCUGACUAAGAAGCCCCGGCUAACUACGUGCCAGCAGCCGCGGUAAUACGUAGGGGGCAAGCGUUAUCCGGAUUUACUGGGUGUAAAGGGAGCGUAGACGGCAGCGCAAGUCUGGAGUGAAAUCCCAUGGCUUAACCAUGGAACUGCCUUGGAAACUGUGUAGCUGGAGUGCAGGAGAGGUAAGCGGAAUUCCUAGGGUAGCGGUGAAAUGCGUAGAUAUUAGGAGGAACACCAGUGGCGAAGGCGGCUUACUGGACUGUAACUGACGUUGAGGCUCGAAAGCGUGGGGAGCAAACAGGAUUAGAUACCCUGGUAGUC